Molecule: non-coding RNA, 2941 nt
Organism: Cyanistes caeruleus (blue tit)
Lineage: Eukaryota; Metazoa; Chordata; Aves; Passeriformes; Paridae
Source: RefSeq, a predicted model, not a curated record
UUGCUUUCUAGAGGGACCCCAUUCGGAGGUUUCCUCCCAAAUUUGCCCUAAACCAGGACAGAUGUCCAGCAGAAACCUAAGAAACGGAAGAGGAAGAUCUCUGAUCUGCAUUCUCAGAGAGGAGAAUUGAACACACAAGUUCCAAAGGCAGAGGACCAGGUGCAUGAGCAUAGGUGGAGGUGAGCAUCACUUUACUCUGGUGAGAAGCUGUUUUGUGAUGCAGACUCUGACACGUCCCAGAAAUGAGUACAGAUCCUAUACAGCCGGGAAAACAGGGCACCUAGCUACAGUUUGAACCUCCUGGCUGGGACUGAACUACCUGAAUGUUACAGCCUGAAGAGUGGAAAAAGCCUUCAAUGGUGUGAGUCAAUCUAUUCCUACCUAGAUAAUCUUCUGGCAAUUAAAACAUAAUCAAAAACCCUCUUGUAGAGCCUGUUGGAAGGAAAAUAGUGAGAUGAAGAAGCAUGAAGGCCUUAAAACACAAAUUAUCAUUUCCCAGCCCAAAUCAUUAGUCAAGAAACUUUCCACAAAAGGAAUAAACAUAGAAAAACAUUUUCAAAAUAAUUGUGGAAAAAAGGCAAAUGUCCUGUAAUGUAUUAGGAAUAUUUUUCCCCAAAGUAAUAUAUGAAAUGACUGCAUAAAAGAGAGAAAAUGGAAUUUUAGGUAGAGCUGUCUGAAAUUAACCUGACAAGAGGACAAGGUAAAAUUGCUUGUUUCUAUUUUAUGAGGAGGUAUUUGCCACUCCAGCUGUGAUGGUGGUGUGUGAUGCCUGCCUGCCUUAUUCCCACAGGGAUUCAUGGUGCCUGCACAGAGUCAGGCAAAUGUGAGAGCCCCAGGGCCAGCUUUUCAGAACCCCCACCUGGCCAAGACCUGCCACACAUCUGCCCAGAUAUGUGCUCUGUCAGACCUGGAGAAUGUUCACGUGGAAACCCUCACGAAGCAGUGUGGACUUAACCUUGUUCCCACCACAGCACGUUCCAGAGCUUCCCACUGACUCUGACCAUUGCUGGGCCAUGCCUUGAAACACACCAGCAACUAAAGCACAGCAUCCCCUCAGUGGCUGCUCUGUGUCAUGAGACACUGUGUGAACACACCAGUGAAGAAAAGGAAAAUCUUGUCCGUGAUUUUAAAUAGCCACAGGAUAUAGAUCACAGCAGCAGCCAGCUAACAGUGUCUCCCAACUAGGAAAAAUACUGUCUUUUCCCAGGCAGAAAUGUCUACUUGUUUUUUUUUCUUUCAGCUGUUGGAUUAAUAAAUCCUUAGGACAAUUAACCUCUGAAAUAACUAAUCCUUGAAGGGAGAAGAGGGACAGAUUGUCUCUUUGCUGAGGUAACUGCUGCAAAGGUGAAGCAGGCAGUUACCAGUACCACUCUCCACAGUGCUGUUGGCUUCUUCUAUGAUAUGGUGUGGGAUGGUAUGGUGUGGUAUGAUAUGAUGUGGCUGCAGGUGUCAUUGUCACCACAGUGCACACAGGAAAUGGAGGGGUUGGAUGAAAUGUGGAAAAAAUGGAAGGGAGAAAAUGAAGCUACCUGGAGAAAAUGAAUGACAGGAUGUGUCCUUCAGUUUGUUCAUACAUGACACCUUUUCUAAACAAGUGCUGCUGGUGGCUGACUGAGGAUAUGCAGGCAAUAAGAGUACAGGAAACUGCAGCAACGCUGUAACUUUCAUCAUUCCUUAACGUGGAACAAGGCCAAGAAUAUUUUAGCAUAUUCAGGAAGAAGAACUAAAAAGAAAACAGCACGCAGAGAACCGUUCUACACUCUGAAUGAAGAGAGCACAGUUACUUCAUGCUGGAUUCAUUUCAGCACAACAUCAUAACGGCUUUCCACAAAGUGGUUUAGAUGGGAUUCCCAGGUGACUUCUUGUGUAUUUAAAUACUGCCUGCCUAGGAUUUAAAUAAACAGCUUUUAUAUUAAUUAGAAACAAAUUCUCUCAAUUGGAAGGUAUUAACAGUUUUUAAAUUGCACACACAACAGUUACUCAGACUUUGAUUCAGUUAUGUGCUUUUAAACUUGCCAGCCACUCGUAGUCUAAUACGCUAUAACCACAGUUUACAGCAGUGCAAUAAAAUAUUGAUUCAACUGUUUUUACCUUUCAUCGAUCGGCAUAACACGUAAUUAAGUCCUAGGAGCAAGCAGGCAGCUCAUUGCUAGCACAUCAGCCUAGGUACACAUUUACAGCACAAGCCUAGCAGUAUUGUUUUAUGCAUGUUUUGCAGUAAUACACAUGCCAAUUAUCUCUUUGCUGGUUUCUGAUUACAGUUUAAUCAAAGACACUCCACACCGCACAAGUAGGACCUGAAUAUAGACUGCCAGGCUCUUCAUUGACCAAGUACAUUGAUUUUACCAGCUGAGAGCCUGACUCAGAUGCUUUGUACUACACUCAUUGCAAAAUCCCUGAGAACGCGCCUGUGGCUCUCAGAAAGCACAAGAGUUGUAAGUUCCACCUGAUCCUGGGAGUGCCAACUCCCUCUGAAGGCAGAGAAAAGCUGCCUGCUUAAAUUCACAGGGUUAGUUAGUAGCUCUAAAGUUUUUAGAGGCUCAGAAUCAUCCCUCUCCAUAAGAUAACUGCCUUGUCUGGCUCCCAGGAACAAUGUUCUGCUUUUCUCAGCUUUGACCCCAUUAGGUAAAUCCAUGUGGAUUUUUUUUUUUUCUGGCUAACUAGCUGAAAAAAAAAAAAAAAAAAAAAGAUGUUUUUUCCCUUGGUUUACCUCAUACCAUUCAAAAAAGCUAAACAGAUUCUCAAAAUGUUUGUGAUCAGAUUGAAUAGGCCAAAUUAAUCCUUUGUGCUUGCAGCCUGUUUUUCAUUAAUUAGUGGAAACCCAACCUGACAAUAUUCAAUAUCACAGUUUCCAGACUAAGAGUGCAUUGCUGAGAUAAAUGGAGUAGAAGGAAGAUGUCAGUUCCUGGCAUUAUCAUCCUCCUGUACAAUAGCAUUUUGU